GCCUCUCCCGGUACCUGCUGCUGCUCCCGGGGCUGCGGGAAAUGCGAGAGGCUGAGCCGGGGAGGAGGAACCCGAGCAGCAGCAGCGGCGGCGGCGGCCGCGGCGGCGGGAGCCCCCCAGGAGGAGGACCGGGAUCCAUGUGUCUUUCCUGGUGACUAGGAUGUCGUCGGAGGAGGACAAGAGCGUGGAGCAGCCGCAGCCGCCGCCACCACCCCCCGAGGAGCCUGGAGCCCCGGCCCCGAGCCCCGCAGCCGCAGACAAAAGACCUCGGGGCCGGCCUCGCAAAGAUGGCGCUUCCCCUUUCCAGAGAGCCAGAAAGAA
RNAcentral lists this long non-coding RNA (321 nucleotides) under Pan troglodytes (chimpanzee). Its description in RNAcentral is "lincRNA". The record is from RNAcentral. Lineage: Eukaryota; Metazoa; Chordata; Mammalia; Primates; Hominidae.